AACCACUCUGGAAUAUGAGAAGUGCUCUGAGCCAGGGAAGAAGUACCUGCUCCUCCUACAAGGCCCAGCAGUAUCAGCGACAGAUUAUGCUUUUGCAAAACUAGGUUUACAAUAUCACGAAUAGUUUGCGGGCGGAGAAUAUUUCCACAGAACAGGAAGGAUGAUUUCUUCAGACAGACAAAGCUUUGCUGGAGCGUUUCUGCCGUCAACAGUCAAGUGGAGGAAAGACAGUGACAGUGGAUAAACUGCAGAAGCUGCUCCAGGAUCUGGGAGCACAGCCUCCUGACCAUGCAGGGAGAGGUGUCAGGAGAGGCCCCGCAAGACACCCAGAGGAGACCCUUCAGUUGUAAAGGCUGAGGAGGAACUUCCAUCUGGGCUUUUCUGAGGAUGAGUGAACUAGCUCAUCUAGCAACCGGGAAUUGGUGUGCAACACUGGCCAAGUCCUAAACCUCUCUAAGCCUCAGUUUCAUCUCCUAUGAGUGGUACUGGGAUUCUGAUGAGGUUUUAAUGAGUGAAGAAUAAGUACAAUGCCUGGCACAUGGUAAGUGCUCAGUAAACGACAGCUGUUAAUACCAUUAUGAAUCUAAUAAGCACAUGACAAUGUCCUUGCAGGGACAUUAGGUCAUUAUAUAAGAUAUCAGGAAUAACCUGAGGUUUUUUUGUUAUAUAUUGUAACCAAGCCAGUAUUUGGGAGUCAAAGCAUCUUGUUUGAGUCAAUUGAAGUCAUUUUCAGCCUAAGUAAGAAGUCUGAAAGUCAUAAUAGUGACUAGUUAAAUAUCCCCAAGCAUUCAGGAAUUAGGAACCUUUUAGUAAUGAAAUUGUGGAAAACUCAAUUUGUUAACUGUUAGAAAUAUGUUAAUGUCUGACCAAAGAGUUUCUCUCUACCAAGAGGUUUGUGGGCUGCCACUGGAAAGCGAGGAGACAAUAGGCUCUUACCACUGUCUAAAGGGGCAGAGUGUAUUCACCUGUUCAAAGAGAAAGUUGGCUCUUGAUUUCAGCCAACUGAAACAUAGAAAAUGGGAA
This 1023-nucleotide long non-coding RNA is filed under the name Homo sapiens (human). RNAcentral describes it as "PREDICTED lncRNA (TCONS_00018241)". The record is from RNAcentral. Lineage: Eukaryota; Metazoa; Chordata; Mammalia; Primates; Hominidae.